UGGGGAAUAUUGGACAAUGGGCGCAAGCCUGAUCCAGCCAUGCCGCGUGCAGGAUGACGGUCCUAUGGAUUGUAAACUGCUUUUGUACAGGAAGAAACAGUUCUACGUGUAGAACCUUGACGGUACUGUAAGAAUAAGGAUCGGCUAACUCCGUGCCAGCAGCCGCGGUAAUACGGAGGAUCCAAGCGUUAUCCGGAAUCAUUGGGUUUAAAGGGUCCGUAGGCGGUUAGAUAAGUCAGUGGUGAAAGCCCAUCGCUCAACGGUGGAACGGCCAUUGAUACUGUCUGACUUGAAUUAUUAGGAAGUAACUAGAAUAUGUAGUGUAGCGGUGAAAUGCUUAGAGAUUACAUGGAAUACCAAUUGCGAAGGCAGGUUACUACUAAUGGAUUGACGCUGAUGGACGAAAGCCAGGGGAGCAAACAGGAUUAGAUACCCAUGUAGUCCCUGAGCGGGCUGGCAAGGCGCAU
Molecule: ribosomal RNA, 467 nt
Filed under: uncultured bacterium
Lineage: Bacteria
Description: bacterial SSU rRNA
Rfam family: Bacterial small subunit ribosomal RNA
Source: RNAcentral